GGAAACUCUACAAGAUCAAAUCAAACAAGUGAACCCUGUCUUGGAAGCAUUUGGAAAUGCCAAAACCCUGAGAAAUGACAACUCUUCUCGUUUUGGCAAGUUCAUCAGGAUGCACUUUUGUGCCAGAGGCAAGCUGUCAUCUGCAGAUAUCGACAUCUAUUUGUUUGAAAAAUCCCGGGUGAUUUUCCAGCAGCCUGGAGAGAGGAACUACCACAUAUUCUAUCAAAUUCUGUCUGGAAAAAAAGAACUUCGUG
Bubalus bubalis (water buffalo) is the source of this 254-nucleotide long non-coding RNA. RefSeq lists it as uncharacterized. NCBI's taxonomy places the organism in Eukaryota, Metazoa, Chordata, Mammalia, Artiodactyla, Bovidae. The record is from RefSeq and is a predicted model, not a curated record. The transcript has 3 exons.